Molecule: ribosomal RNA, 451 nt
Filed under: uncultured bacterium
Lineage: Bacteria
Description: partial 16S ribosomal RNA
Rfam family: Bacterial small subunit ribosomal RNA
Source: RNAcentral
GAUGAACGCUGGCGGCGUGCCUAACACAUGCAAGUCGAGCGGCAGCGAGGGGUGCUUGCACCAUGUCGGCGAGCGGCGGACGGCUGAGUAACGCGUGGGAACGUGCCCCAAAGAGAGGAAUAACUGCCCGAAAGGGUAGCUAAUACCGCAUAUUAUCUUCGGAUCAAAGGAUUUAUCCGCUUUGGGAGCGGCUCGCGUCGGAUUAGGUAGUUGGUGAGGUAAUGGCUCACCAAGCCGACGAUCCGUAGCUGGUCUGAGAGGAUGACCAGCCAGACUGGAACUGAGACACGGUCCAGACUCCUACGGGAGGCAGCAGUGAGGAAUCUUCCACAAUGGGCGAAAGCCUGAUGGAGCAACGCCGCGUGCAGGACGAAGGCCUUCGGGUUGUAAACUGCUUUUAUAAGUGAGGAAUAUGACGGUAACUUAUGAAUAAGGAUCGGCUAACUACGUG